UACGUAGGGUGCAAGCGUUAUCCGGAAUUAUUGGGCGUAAAGAGCUCGUAGGCGGUUUGUCGCGUCUGCUGUGAAAACUGGAGGCUCAACCUCCAGCCUGCAGUGGGUACGGGCAGACUAGAGUGCGGUAGGGGAGAUUGGAAUUCCUGGUGUAGCGGUGGAAUGCGCAGAUAUCAGGAGGAACACCGAUGGCGAAGGCAGAUCUCUGGGCCGUAACUGACGCUGGAGGAGACGAAAGCAUGGGGAGCGAACAGG
This 255-nucleotide ribosomal RNA is filed under the name uncultured bacterium. RNAcentral's name for it is "partial 16S ribosomal RNA". It matches the Rfam family "Bacterial small subunit ribosomal RNA", at positions 524 to 776 of the family's 1533-position model. The record is from RNAcentral.